This 471-nucleotide ribosomal RNA is filed under the name Alternaria tenuissima. Its description in RNAcentral is "eukaryotic LSU rRNA". The stretch from base 150 to 303 matches the Rfam family "5.8S ribosomal RNA". Lineage: Eukaryota; Fungi; Ascomycota; Dothideomycetes; Pleosporales; Pleosporaceae. The record is from RNAcentral.
CGGGCUGGACCUCUCGGGGUUCAGCCUUGCUGAAUUAUUCACCCUUGUCUUUUGCGUACUUCUUGUUUCCUUGGUGGGUUCGCCCACCACUAGGACAACCAUAAACCUUUUGUAAUUGCAAUCAGCGUCAGUAACAAAUUAAUAAUUACAACUUUCAACAACGGAUCUCUUGGUUCUGGCAUCGAUGAAGAACGCAGCGAAAUGCGAUAAGUAGUGUGAAUUGCAGAAUUCAGUGAAUCAUCGAAUCUUUGAACGCACAUUGCGCCCUUUGGUAUUCCAAAGGGCAUGCCUGUUCGAGCGUCAUUUGUACCCUCAAGCUUUGCUUGGUGUUGGGCGUCUUGUCUCUAGCUUUGCUGGAGACUCGCCUUAAAGUAAUUGGCAGCCGGCCUACUGGUUUCGGAGCGCAGCACAAGUCGCACUCUCUAUCAGCAAAGGUCUAGCAUCCAUUAAGCCUUUUUUUCAACUUUUGAC